Long non-coding RNA from Mustela lutreola (European mink), 491 nucleotides. RefSeq lists it as uncharacterized. The transcript has 3 exons. NCBI's taxonomy places the organism in Eukaryota, Metazoa, Chordata, Mammalia, Carnivora, Mustelidae. The record is from RefSeq and is a predicted model, not a curated record.
GACGAAUUCAGUCCAGGUUUCUCGCCAUCGGAGGAAGAAGUUGUGACUAUGGAACUGGGAAAGGAUGAGUACAAUGUACCCUGUGGUGCUAGAAGAGAGCGGGUCGGAGAUAUCCUUCUCCGGGUGCACAGUCGUGUAGCACUGCAGACGCCCACGGCGUGCGCGGCACUAACCUGACGAAACCACUGUGAGGUUUAUGGGAUUUGGUCAUUUCGGGUCCGUCCCGGAGGAGCUCUCGGUGCUGCUUUGAGCCCUCCCACCGCACUCACUGUGACCGACGGCGGUGAGUUUGUGCCGUUCGUAUCUGGGUUAGUCUUUUACUCGUAGAACUACUCUACAGGGUCAGGAGGGGGGCGUUUGAAGCCAACCUGACCGGCUGACUGUCGCCCCAGACCACCAAGCAACAUAUCCCACAGGCUCUGGGCUGCGUUUUGUCCACGGGAGCCACGAGCGCCCGACCCACCUGCUAUCUGGUACUCGGAGAUGAACAG